RNAcentral lists this unclassified non-coding RNA (2409 nucleotides) under Hevea brasiliensis (rubber tree). Lineage: Eukaryota; Viridiplantae; Streptophyta; Magnoliopsida; Malpighiales; Euphorbiaceae. The record is from RNAcentral.
UCAUGGCAUGCGUCACUUUAAGUGGCAGACAAGAGAUAGUGGAUGGCUGAUAGAGACUUGUCCUUUUAGAUUGAGAGAAAUCAGAUACCCUUUACAAGUCAUAAGGGUCUUGGCUGUCUUCCCAAUAAUGUCCUUCCAUGUCAGUGUCGCUAUCACUGUCGUCCUUUUGAUGAGACUUGGAGCACUCAGCGGAAUCUUUUGCUUUUGAACUGGCGACUUUUGAGCUGGCUUUUUUGUCGUCUUCUGAUAAUGCGCUGAAAAGCUGUCGGCGAAGUUCAUCUUUCGGCACUGAUUUGAGUAGGUCUUUGAAUAAGUCUGACAGAUUUGAUGAGACUGAAGGACUGGGCAUUGUUGGCUUUUUAGCCAAGGUAAUUAAUCCUUUGGAGGAAUAAACAGAGGGUGACUCAAAGAAGUCACACUUAUCCCACCAUUUGAUUAGGACUGUCUGAGUUAACCAUGGCACAUGAUUUGUGGAAAACUCGCCAAAUUUUUUCAUUUUCUUUUUUGAGAUAAUAUAAUCCCAUCGUACUAUCCAUGGUACUUUAUACAAGAUAGUAAACAUUAAUCUUGAAUCCUUUAAGGAUUUAUUUGAAUCAGCGAACUGCUCAUAGACCUCUCUUACCUUAUUAGAUAAAGCUAUGGGAAAUAUUCCCCAGUUAAAGAACCAUUCGUAAAACCAAGAUGGAAAUUCAAAUAGUUCUUUAUCCAACUGGAACUGUAUGAACCAGCUGAAUUUUCUUUGCCUAUUUUCAUAAAUUAAGGCACCGGUCCAGGCUUGCAUAUAGUCAAAAUAAUUGAAAUACCUGGGCUUUCCGAAAUUUAAUUCUUUCUGUUUGAAGAGAGAAUCUCCCCGCUCAUCAUAGGAUAUAAUCCUUUUAAUGAUAAAUUUAUUAAAUGCCCACUCAUUAGCGGACCUUUCUGUUAGAGAGAAGACCACUGAGUCGGUCUCUGCUAGGAUAGCCUAGUAAUAAGUAUAGUCCUUUGGCAAAUAAGGAUUCACUGUGUGAUGUUCUGUGUAGAAGUUUGCUACCUCAUAAGGUUUCAGUUCCUUGUGUUUUUUAUCCAUUGGCAUAAGGAAGCAGUAACUAAUUGGAAUAUAGGGGUAAUUAACCUCUUUGGCGUUAUUAGCCUCAAUGCUGAUAGCAUAAGCAUCUUCUCGAAAUUUGUCCACCAUUUUAGGCGGAGGUGACGAAACCUCAUGGGUUCGCUUUGAAGGAGUUAUCGAUGCCUUUGAACUCAUGUCCUGUAAGAAAUUCACGAGUUAGAAAAUCAAGCAAUGAGUUAGUUUCUCCUUUAAUGAAUUCAAUAUCAAAAUCGAAUACAGAUAAGAUGGCUUGCCAUCUAGCAAAGAUCUAUUUAGAUGCGAUGUUUUUAACAUCCUUUAGUAAUAUCUCUUUUGCACUUUUACAAUCAACCCUUAUAAGGAAUUUUUGAUUCAAUAAAUCAGAUUCAAACUUUUGUACACAGAUAACUAUAGAUAAGAUCUAUUUUUUAACCGUAGAGUAAUUAACUCUAGGUCCUGUCCAUAUUCCACUAGUAAAUCUAACUAGGGUUUCUUUGUCAGCUAUCCGUUGUUUUAGAAUGCCACCAUACCCUAUGUUAGAUGCGUCAGUCUCCACUACCUUUAAGGCUUUUGGAUGAGGAAUCGCCAGACAGGGGAGUGACUUGACUCUUUGUUUUAUCCGUUUAACAGAUAAGGUGUGUUCUGGGGUCCAUGGUCCUGGAUUCUUUUUUAAUUUUUGAAAAAGAGGUUUGGCGUCUUGUGCUAGGCUUUUAUAAAAGUCAGCAACAUAAUUAAGACUGCCUAAGAAUCUCUGUAAUUGGGUUUUGUCUUUUAUUUCAUCAGGAAAUUUGUUGGUAAACUUAAUGGCUCGAUCUAUGGGAAUAAUAGAUCCUUUUUCUAUGUUAUGUCCUAAAAAUCUAAUUUUAGCCUGGAAGAGUUUUAUCUUCUUGGCUGACACUACUAAACCAUUUUUCUUUAUAAUUUUUGUAAACACAUUUAAGUGUUUAAAAUGUUGAUCUAUUGUUCUGGAAAAAAUAAGGACAUCAUCAAUAUAAACAAUUGAAAAUGCUGAAUAAGCAUUAAAUAUUUCAUUCAUAAUUUUUUGAAAUUCUGAUGGGGCAUUUUUAAGCCCAAAAGGCAUUACGUUCCAUUCGUAAUGUCCAAAUGGUACAGUAAAGGCAGUUUUAUACCUAUCUGUUUCAGCUAUCUGGAUUUACCAAUAUCCAGAUUUCAUGUCGAAUUUUGAAAAGAUUUGGGCCUCGUAGAGUCUAUUUAAUAAAUCUCUUUUAUUAGGCAAUGGAUAUCUUAUCCAUCUAAGGGCCUUAUUUAAAGGCUUAUAAUUGAUAACUAACCUUGGGACUCCUCUUUCUAAUUCGGCAGCAUUUUCUACAUGAAAGGCCGGACAA